RNAcentral lists this ribosomal RNA (250 nucleotides) under uncultured archaeon. RNAcentral's name for it is "partial 16S ribosomal RNA". It matches the Rfam family "Archaeal small subunit ribosomal RNA", at positions 474 to 723 of the family's 1478-position model. The record is from RNAcentral.
UACCAGCGCCACAAGUGGAGAUCACUUUUAUUGGGUCUAAAGUGUCCGUAGCUGGUCUGUUAAGUUUCUUGUGAAAGUUCUGUGGCUUAACCCAGAGAUUGCAAGAAAUACUGAUAGACUUGAGACCGGGAGAGGUAAGAGGUAUUGUUUGGGUAGCGGUAAAAUGCUAUAAUCCUUACAAGACCAACUAAGGCGAAGGCAUCUUACUUGAACGGAUCUGACAGUGAGGGACGAGAGCUAGGGUAGCGAA